CAUCACUCUCUCUCUCUCUCUCUCUCUCUCUCUCUGUAACUCACUUUCUCUCUCUCUCUCUCUCUCUCUCUCUUUCAAGGUCUUCCUUCGUAUCUGCAUAUACGAAUGCUUAUUGGCCAGUCCAGUAAUGCUCGGAGAAAAUCGCCAAAAUCGUCGCUCUCAAUCUUCCACCGAAGAGAAUUAGGGUUUUCUCCUAUUCACUGACUCGAUGGACGAGGCCGCUCUGCAACUCGUAUCGGAAAUUGGAACACAACUCGGCCAACAAAGUCGUCCGAUUAAGGGUUUCAUUGUCAAAUCGCUUCGACAAGCUGCAAGUGCUUUAUCGCAGUUGGAACAGCCUAAUUUUCCAGAUGCAACCAAAAAGUUGGAAGCUGCUAAAAAGCUAGAAGCUGGAAUAAAACCCUUGAAGAGAUCUAUCAUUCAUGGCUUGCUUCAACAUAAAGAUAAGGAUGUUCAGCUUCUAGUUGCAAUAUGUGUUAGUGAAAUGUUUCGUGUUCUGGCACCGGAACCACCUUUUGAAGACGAGUAUCUGAGGGACAUUUUUAAACUUAUCCUCAAUACUUUUGCGGAGCUAGCUGAUACCACGAGUCCGUUUUUUUCAAGAAGGGUUAAAAUUAUAGAGACUGUCUCAAGAUGUAAAUGCUGUGUAAUAAUGUUGGAUAUUGAUUGCAAUGAUCUAGUUAUGGAGAUGUUCAAUAUCUUUUUCUCUGUUGUGAGAGAGCAUCAUCAGAAGAGUUUGAUUAGUGAUAUUUUGUCUAUAAUGAGUCAUAUUCUGCACGAGGAAGCUUCUGAGCAACUUUUGGAUGUGAUUUUGCGAAAUCUUUUGAAGGAAGAUAAGGCGAGUGUUGGAGGAACACCAUCUGCUUCUUCUAAGCUAGCUAUUUCUUUGAUUCAGACUUGCUCAGAAAACCUUGGGCCCUUUAUUUGUGGGUUUUUAACAUCUUGCAUUUUGGAUAGAGAUGCUGUAGUGAGUGAGUUGAAAGAAUUUUACCACGAAAUCAUCUUUAGAAUUUUCCAGUGUGCUCCUGAGAUGCUUCUUGCUGUUAUUCCAAAUGUGACUCAAGAAUUACUGACUGAUCAGGUUGAUGUCCGAAUAAAAGCUGUUAAUCUGAUUGGAAAAUUUUUUUCAUUGCCUGAGCACCGUAUUGCUCAAAAGUACCAUGAUCUUUUCAUAGAGUUCUUGAAAAGAUUCUCUGAUAAAUCUGCAGAAGUUAGAGUUAGUGCUCUUCAAUGUGCUAAAAUUUGCUACAUGGCCAAUCCCUCUGGGCCAGAAUCAGAGGAUGUUCUCACUGCCCUUGAAGGUCGACUCCUAGAUUUUGAUGAUAGGGUGAGAAUGCAAGCAGUGAUUGUUGCCUGUGAUCUUGCCAGGUCUAACCUGAAAAUUUUCCCACCCAAAUUAAUAUUUCAGGCUAUGGAAAGGCUUCGUGAUAAGAAGAUACCUGUUAGAAAAAAGGCCCUGCAGAAAUUGAUGGAAUUAUAUUGUGAUUAUUGUAACAAAUGUUCUGAAGGCCUUAUGGGAAUAAGUGACAACUUAGAAAAAAUCCCAUGCAAAAUUUUGAUGCUUUGCUAUGAUAAAGACUGUAAAGAGUUCAGGUCCCAAAACAUGGAACUAGUUUUGGCAGAGGAUUUAUUUCCUCCUUCACUUUCAGUUUCGGAGAGGACAAGGCAUUGGAUCCAUUUGUUUUCUCUUUUCACUCCUCAUCAGCUGAAGUCACUGAACUCUAUAUUAUCACAGAAAAGAAGGUUGCAGAAUGAGAUGCAAACUUAUUUGGCUCUAAAAAAGAAAGAGAAGGAGAAUUGUCUGGAAGAGAUGCAGAAUAGAUACAGAACGUCAUUCAUGAAAAUGGCAGCUUGCUUUACAGAUCCUUCCAAAGCAGAAGAGUGCUUUCUGAAACUGAACCAUAUGAAAGAUAAUAACAUUUUUAAUACACUGGCCCAUUUAUUAGAUGAACUACACUAUACAAAUUCACAGACCAUCAGAGCUAAGUUUCUGAAUAUGAUAGGGAAUAAACAUCAAAAUUUAGAGUUUCUGCGAACGCUUUCGUUGAAGUGCUCUCAUAAUAUAUUCAGCUCAGAGCAUGUCAGCUGUAUAUUAGAUCAUCUUUCAAGUAAUAGAAACAAAAAUUUUGAGGCUUCUUCUGUCAGAUUUCUUCAGACUGUUACCAGCCUUUUCCCUAUGCUCCUGAAAGGUUCAGAAAAGCAAUUUCAGAAUUUGUUAGAAGAAAGUAAUACAGUUGAUGAUAAGUUGAUUGAAGUGUUAGCAAUAGCAGGUCCUCAUAUAUCUGUUAAACUCAGUGAAAUUUACCCUUUUUUGGAGAGAUUAUGUUUGGAAGGAACUCGCAUGCAGUCCAAGUUUGCAGUUUCAGCAAUUGCUGCAUUAACAGACUCUUCUAAGCAAUUAGUUUUUUCAAAUCUAUGCAAGGGACUUGUGGAGUCUCUACAUAUUGGACGUAACGUUCCAACAGUGUUGCAAUCCUUGGGAUGUCUUGCGCAAUAUUCUGUUUCGGCAUUUGAAACUCAAAAUGGAGAGAUCACACAGCUUAUACAUGAGAAAAUUUUCCAAAUGGACUUGUCAGAUGGUCAAAGUUCAUUUGAUGAUACUUAUGGAUGCACCAAUUCUUGCAAGCUGAAGAUAUAUGGGCUGAAAACACUUGUCAAGAGUUUUUUGCCACAUCAAGGAACUAAAGUCCAAAGGAAAAUUAAUGAAUUAUUGGAUCUAUUGUCCUUAAUGCUGCAAAAGGGGGAUACUUGUGAUGGUGUAAUUUCAGAAAAUAGUUUCAGUGAAAGUGAAAAAGCUUGUAUUAGAUUAGCAGCUGCAAAGUCUGUUCUCCAGCUUUCACGAAGAUGGGACUUACAUUUUUCUCCAGAGAUUUUUCGUUUUACAAUAUCAAUGGCGAAGGAUGAAUCCUCUUCUGUUAGAAGAUCAUUUCUUGAUAAAACGUACAAACUAUUGAAGGAGCAUGCUAUUCCAAGUAGAUAUGCAUGUGCUUAUGCACUGGCCACCUCAGAUUCUCUCAAAGAUCUAAAAGAGGAUUCAUUUAAAUAUAUGGCAGAGUUUGUCAGGGAAUAUGGUAGAGAAGCUAGAAUCCGUCAAACUUCUGAAGUCCAACAAGGAUUGAUCAUUGAUUUUCCCGCAUGCAUUGUGAUAUUCUUGAUUCAUCUUCUUGCUCAUGACAGAGACUACCCCAGUGAAGACUGUCAAGAUGAAAUAACAUAUGCUAAGUUUUGCAGUCCACUUUUUUUUGUAUUGCAGGCAUUACUUAAUGCUAGUAAUGUCAAUGGUGACAUGGAAGUGGUUAAGGAGGCUGUCUUGUAUUUGCUUUGUAUUUUCCGUGCAAUUAAGAAAGCUGAGGAUGCUGUUGACGCUGACAAAACUCCUAAGCUGCACAUGCUGUCAGACAUUGGAUUCUCUUUUGUUGCUGCAGUAAAUCGUAGCAGCAUUUCCUCAUCACAUGCCCCUGGGCAAAUUUUGCUACCAUCGUCACUGUAUAGAAUAGGUCCUGCUAACAAAAAUGAUGAGGCCAAUUCAAGGUGUCUUAUUAUUAAAUCCUGUUUGGACGAAUUUUUUGUUAGAAGAGUUAUUCACAUAUUUAAAUCUCAAAUCUCUAUGCCUGACAGCAUUCUUCCUAAACAUGGUCGAACAUAUCAAGAGGACAGGACACAAUCAGAUAUUCUCAAGGAAAACUUGUUGAACUUCCCAUCUUGCAAAGUAGUUGAUUUGACCAUUGCUGGAACAACAGAAAACCAAAAAGCUGCCAAGCAAGAUCUUAGCAUCAGAAAUAGGCGAAAACUGUCUGCCUCUGGUGCUCCUGAGUCAGUUGGAUUGCAUGGGUGUUCUAUUCUCCAUGAUGGUGCAUCUAAAAAGUCCAAGCCAUGUCUUGAGAAAGAACAACUUUCAUCUUCUUGUGGUUCUGUGCCUAUUAAACCUUGUCUAACCGAAUUGCAUGGUCCAUCCCAAAAUAUGGAAGCAAAUUCUGUUUCCUUGAAAGAAAGUGUUGGUGUAAAUAGGAGAACUUUAGCUGAAAAUUCCAAAUACUCCAAUGCUAAGUACAAGGACUCUUGCAGUUCGAAAGACACUAUUAAUAAGGGUGAAGCAUUAAUUGGACAGCGAAUCAGAUUGUCGUCUCCAGUUGAUAGAUGUUUUUAUUCAGGCACAGUGGAUGGUUAUAGUUCUCUAAACAAUACUCACAAGAUCAUAUGUGAUAGCGGCGAUGUUGACGUAGUAUGCUUAGAUAGUGAGAGCUGGGAGAUGAUAAGUGAUGGUUCUCUAGUGGAAAGGGUUGUAUCAGCUGAGGACUCUGACACCUUUGUUAUGCAGCAAUGUGAUAUGGGGAAGCACUCAUCUUUCAGUGAUCCAGAGAUACCUCUUGAUACGUUUGGUGAAGUUGCAGCCAAACGGCAAAAGAUAUUAGCAGGACUUGGGGCUGGGCGUAUACAUAUUUGAAACAAAGACGGGUGAAGUUCUGUCAACCCAUCUGAUUGGUUCUAUCUCAUUGCAUUUGUUGUAUUCCUGAUGGGUGUAGAGAAGAAAAAGAAAAGGCAGAAAGCUUCUACAGAAACCUUCAUGUCAGAAGUUGUUGAUGUGAAUAAGGAUGCUGUCCUUAGAAGAAGUCGGAGACAAAAAGUUAAAACAUGAUUAUCUUUUUCUUCUGGUUCCCCUAUGGCCUUUGGUGUUAUGAAACAGCAAACUCAAGAGUUCAGGGGUAGUCAAGUAGCAAAAUGGAGUAGGAUUUGUAUAGAAGACUGCUCGUCCUUAAUACUUCCUCUCUGACAGAGAGCUGUGACAAGUCAAGCCACAAUUUCUAGCCUUCUGUAAGUUAUCACUUCUAAAGUCACUGUUGUAUAUGUUGUUGAGAAGAUAGGGCCAUAUGAGUAAUUCCACAAAUUUCACCUUUCUCCUGAAGUUUACUAAUUUCUUUGGCCGUCUUUUAAGGUGCUUCAUUUGUUUUUAACAAGGCAUCUAUGGAAAGAGGGACUGGCCUUUGUAAAUAUUUCAUCUAUUAACAGUUUUAUGUCAUGGAUGUUGGUGUACUA
RNA transcript from Ziziphus jujuba (common jujube), 5034 nucleotides. It is a transcript of the gene named sister chromatid cohesion protein PDS5 homolog B, with no coding region annotated. The record is from RefSeq and is a predicted model, not a curated record. The transcript has 32 exons. NCBI's taxonomy places the organism in Eukaryota, Viridiplantae, Streptophyta, Magnoliopsida, Rosales, Rhamnaceae.